Molecule: ribosomal RNA, 428 nt
Filed under: uncultured prokaryote
Description: bacterial SSU rRNA
Rfam family: Bacterial small subunit ribosomal RNA
Source: RNAcentral
UGAGGAAUUUUGCGCAAUGGGAGCAAUCCUGACGCAGCAACGCCGCGUGGGUGAUGAAGGCCUUCGGGUCGUAAAGCCCUGUCAGGUGGGAAGAAUGUCCCGGGACUGAACAGGUUCCGGGAGUGACGGUACCACCAGAGGAAGCACCGGCUAACUCCGUGCCAGCAGCCGCGGUAAUACGGAGGGUGCAAGCGUUAUUCGGAAUUACUGGGCGUAAAGCGCGUGUAGGCGGUCCUGCAAGUCUGAGGUGAAAGCCCCGGGCUUAACCCGGGAAGUGCAUUGGAAACUGUGUGAGUUGAGUACUGUAGAGGAUGGGUGGAUUGCUGGUGUAGAGGUGAAAUUCGUAGAGAUCGGGAGGAAUAUCAGUGGCGAAGGCGCCCAUCUGGACGGUAACUGAUGCUGAGACGCGAAAGCGUGGGGAGCAAACA